This 965-nucleotide long non-coding RNA is filed under the name Eptatretus burgeri (inshore hagfish). RNAcentral's name for it is "lncRNA (ENSEBUG00000017418.1)". The record is from RNAcentral. Lineage: Eukaryota; Metazoa; Chordata; Myxini; Myxiniformes; Myxinidae.
AACAGACUUUCAGUCUGCUUUCUGCCAACCUUUGGAAGUAUUUGGAGUAGAUUCACUAAUUUUAAAGACAACCAAAUUAUUUUUUCUUCCAUCCCUUUCAGCCAUCCCCUCUGUGGCGCGAUUUGAACGAUCUUCAUCCUGCUUCGAGAAUGUUCAUGAAAGCUCACCUCCAGUGAGGGAUAUGUUAUGAUAUUCAGACUUGGCAUGCUGUGCUUGGUUUACCAAGUGUACUUUUGUUACAUUCAGCAUAUAUUCACCCCAAUCUUUUCUCUCAAGACCCUUUGAAACCCAUUUCACCUUUUGCAGCACUGAGACCUCCAAGACCCUUUCGAUCCACUUCAUCACUUUCGAACCCUGAAAACCGUCAAAGGUGAAAUGGACAACUUCUUGGAAUGGCUCCAAUCACAAGGUCUGAGAGCAGAAACAGCCCAAGCAGUGAUCAAUGUGCUUGGAAUUGAGAAUCAGAAGGUUUUUCGAGCUUGUGCAGAUUCCGAUUCAUUACGAACAGAGCUCCUCUCCCUCACCAAAGAGAAAUUUAAAUUUGCAAUGUACGCUGACUUCUGCAAAUUUAUGAAAUCUUUUUUGAAGCCGCAGGUUGUCAAGCUUGCAGGAUCUUCUCUGUUGGGAAGUGUGUUCGUCAACUUAGACAAUGUUGUUCGAGAACUUUCCAGCUUCUGCCAAAAGUUUGUCAGAUUCCAAAACGUGCAGCUUGAAAAUGUUCCUGAUUUCCAUGGAUUCGGUUUCAGUGAUGUCUGCGAACUCCACUGUCAGGAUGAUGGAUUAACACCCAAGUCUGCCUUCACGUCAUCUGUAGAAACUCGCACAGAGUGGAUUGACUUGAGAUGUCCUGCGCCGUAUAAAGUACGUACAAAUGCAUUGUGCACAUGUUUGCUAUCUCACUGAUCGUCUUAAUUCCUGUGAUUGUUUCGCGGAAAAGAAAUUCUGGGGGGGGGGGGGGGGGGGGG